UUAAACACGAUGAUGGAAAAAAGACGUUGCUUUGUCUUACAGAGAGCCGAUGGAUGGUGCAAAUCGGUGGCAGGCAGAUGAUCUUGAGCGCUCCUGAGUUAUUGCAUUGAAAUUGGAGUAGGUGCAAUCGGUUUAGACCCGUUAUCCUCUUCGGUCUUCAUUGACCGCUAAGACUGUCGUUGCGAAACGGCGGUGAAUUAGGGUGGUACCACGACAACUCUCGUCCCUUAU
RNAcentral lists this non-coding RNA (231 nucleotides) under Paenibacillus sp. RNAcentral's name for it is "T-box sequence". It matches the Rfam family "T-box leader". Rfam says of the family: Uncharged tRNA acts as the effector for transcription antitermination of genes in the T-box leader family. T-boxes are found upstream of many aminoacyl-tRNA synthetase genes and some amino acid biosynthetic genes usually in Gram-positive bacteria. The record is from RNAcentral. Lineage: Bacteria; Bacillati; Bacillota; Bacilli; Caryophanales; Paenibacillaceae.